RNAcentral lists this ribosomal RNA (252 nucleotides) under uncultured prokaryote. Its description in RNAcentral is "partial 16S ribosomal RNA". It matches the Rfam family "Bacterial small subunit ribosomal RNA", at positions 524 to 775 of the family's 1533-position model. The record is from RNAcentral.
UACGAAGGGUGCAAGCGUUACUCGGAAUUACUGGGCGUAAAGCGUGCGUAGGUGGUUUGUUAAGUCUGAUGUGAAAGCCCUGGGCUCAACCUGGGAAUGGCAUUGGAUACUGGCGAGCUAGAGUGCGGUAGAGGGCAGUGGAAUUCCCGGUGUAGCAGUGAAAUGCGUAGAGAUCGGGAGGAACAUCUGUGGCGAAGGCGACUGCCUGGACCAGCACUGACACUGAGGCACGAAAGCGUGGGGAGCAAACAG